This 252-nucleotide long non-coding RNA is filed under the name Hordeum vulgare. RNAcentral describes it as "long non-coding RNA (HVUL_LNC011557)". Lineage: Eukaryota; Viridiplantae; Streptophyta; Magnoliopsida; Poales; Poaceae. The record is from RNAcentral.
AAGUGGUGAGAAGAUGUCGAUGAUGCCUACUUGGGACAUUCAAAUCAACACAACAUAAAAAUUUCUGAACCUAUGUCUCAAAGGAGAUUGGAAUGAACUCCAUUGUUAGCAGAUGUCCCAUUGUUCUCUUGUGCAAUUUUGUCCGUUCUUACUAUAUUCCUGUGUAAGGAAAUGUAUUCGUGAGAUGAGUUAUUGUGUUAUGUAAACCUGGGAGAUGUAUUAUGCGAUGUUAUAUGAUGGAUGAUAUUAAUU